This is a long non-coding RNA of Betta splendens (Siamese fighting fish), 1098 nucleotides long. RefSeq lists it as uncharacterized. The record is from RefSeq and is a predicted model, not a curated record. The transcript is spliced from 2 exons. Lineage: Eukaryota; Metazoa; Chordata; Actinopteri; Anabantiformes; Osphronemidae.
CAUGUAAAAAAAAAGUGUGUAUCUGGUACGGGGGGUUGCCCUAGAUCCCAGGACUUCACCACAGCAGAAGAGCUGGCCCUGCAGUUGAACAAAGGGAAGCCGGUAAUGGAAGGGCUCCAGGGAGGGACACCUACCGAUUCCUGCCAGCAAGAGAAAGUGGCCUCUUCAUACGAGAAUUCACAAACAGAUGUCUCUAUGCCACACAUCUGAAGAGAUAGAUACAGCCGACUGAACUGCAGAUCAGGGAGAAGAAGAGAAAGCUGGAAGAAAUGGACCUUGAUGUGUCAAUUGACACUAACCAUGACUGUAACACAAUGCAUUUACUCACUGUUAUUGUUUUCUCUCCAAAGCUCAAAGAUGAAAAGUCACCACAAAUGCAACUAGAAAAAGUAAUUUCUUGAGAAAUUACGUGGGAGAGCUGAUCUGCUGCCGCAAAGAUGCCAAACGCUGAUUAAGCUGCUUACGUCAAAAAGUUGACUACGUCCAAAAGUUGACUACGGCAAAACGAUGAAAACAAGAAAAUGUUGACAAAGAUUAAAACAAUGACAAAAGAUGGCGAUUAAAAAGAUGAUGAUUAAAACGAUGACCAAGCUCAUACUAAGACAAGAUUAAAAAUAUGACAAUGAUUCAAAAGUUGACCAAAGUAAAAAGAUGUCAAAGAUUAAAAAGUUGACCAAGGUGCAUUGUUGACAAUCAUAAAUAAGCUGACUAGCUUUUUGAUUUGAAGAAAGUAUUUGUAAGUAAAUACCUAAAUGUGUAAUCGUUUAAUAGCUAGUAAAAAUUUACCAGUCAGAAACAAAAAUCUUGCCAUUUAAGAUAAUAAAUAACAUUGGUGCUUUUAUUUUGAAAGGAUUUGGAGUCGUGUGUGAGUGAUUGCUAAACUAUAAAUAGUCAUUAGAUAGUCAUAAUUUAUCAUUAAAUAGCAAGAAUAGACCUAUUAAAGCAAAAGAUUUAGAUUAAGCCCUUUCAGAAUAAAAUCACCCUAAUAAGUGUGAGUGGUUAUUUACUGAACUCUAAAAUAGUCUCAUUAACGAUUGGUAAGUAUUCAGAACCAGAAAAUUUCUAAUCAAUCUUGCCAUUAAAGGUAAUAAAUUGUAA